Molecule: ribosomal RNA, 381 nt
Filed under: uncultured microorganism
Description: bacterial SSU rRNA
Rfam family: Archaeal small subunit ribosomal RNA
Source: RNAcentral
GUGCACCAGGCGCGAAUACUUCACACUGCGCGAAAGCGCGAUGAGGGAAUCCCAAGUGCUUGCACGUAAGUGUAAGCUGUUUCUCUGUCUAAAAGCAGAGAGAGUAAGGGCUGGAUAAGACGGGUGCCAGCCGCCGCGGUAAUACCUGCAGCUCAAGUGGUGGCCGCUAUUAUUGGGCCUAAAACGUCCGUAGCCGGUCUAGUAAAUGCCUGGGUAAACCGUGAGGCUUAACCUUACGAAUUCCGGGUAGACUGCUAGACUUGAGACCGGGAGAGGCUAGAGGUACUCCUGGGGUAGAGGUGAAAUUCUGUAAUCCUAGGGGGACCACCAGUGGCGAAGGCGUCUAGCUAGAACGGGUCUGACGGUGAGGGACGAAGCCCU